CUUCCUGUAGCUCAGUUGGUUAGAGCGUUGCACCGGAAUUGCAGAGCCACAGCUUCGAUUCCUGCCAGAGUGC
Molecule: transfer RNA, 73 nt
Filed under: Paramuricea clavata
Lineage: Eukaryota; Metazoa; Cnidaria; Anthozoa; Malacalcyonacea; Plexauridae
Description: tRNA-Ser
Rfam family: tRNA (bases 5-68)
About the family: Transfer RNA (tRNA) molecules are approximately 80 nucleotides in length. Their secondary structure includes four short double-helical elements and three loops (D, anti-codon, and T loops).
Source: RNAcentral